Long non-coding RNA from Ictalurus punctatus (channel catfish), 413 nucleotides. The record is from Ensembl. Lineage: Eukaryota; Metazoa; Chordata; Actinopteri; Siluriformes; Ictaluridae.
GGACUGACAGAUUACUGACGGCCCUAUAGGAAGGUGUUAAUGUUACAGCCCUAUAGGAAGGUGUUUCAUCCCUAUAGGAAGGUUGUUACAGCCCUACAGGAAGGUGUUACAGCCCUAUAGGAAGGUGUUACAGCCCUAUAGGAAGGUGUUACAGCCCUAUAGGAAGGGCGUUACAGCCCUAUAGGAAGGCGUUACAGCCCUACAGGAAAGUGUUACAGCCCUAUAGGAAAGUGUUACAGCCCUAAGGAAGGUGUUACAGUCCUAAAGGAAAGUGUUACAUCCCUACAGGAAGGUGUUACAGCCCUACAGGAAAGUGUUACAUCCCUAUGGUAUUACAACCCUAUAGAAAGGUGUUGCAGCCCUACAGGAACUUGCUACAAGUGUUCCCUUUUGGCUGUAGUUUUUCCCAUGAG